CACACACACACUAGCAACCGGGGAAGGAAGUCGAGAAGAAUCGAGAAAGAAGGAAAAAAAAAUGGGAAAGAAGAGAAAGAAGAGAAGAAAAGAAAGAGGAAAAGAAAAAGAAGAAGUGGGCUUUCAAUUCUUGGGUGCUCCAUUUCUUCAAUUUUUCAUUUGAUUUAGAGAGGUAAGUGUAAGUAUAUUGAAUUAAGUUUUCUUUUAGGGUUUAUGGAAAAUUUGGUUAUAUUCGAAGUUAGCUAAAAUUAGAGGUUAUUGAAAUUUAUUUGAGGUAUUAAACAUGAAUAUGUUACAGAAAUAUAUAUUGAAUGAUUGGUGUUGGAAAAAAGAAAAGAAAAGAGGGGUACUUUGAAAUUGCGUUUAUGAAAUAGAUACUUAUUCUUUGAUUUUCUUGGGAUUAUAUGAUGUUAAUAACUUAAAUUAAGGAAUUGGGUUUGAUUUCACUAUUUUUAAGUAAUAAUUAUAAGCAAUUUUUGGACAAAGUCCUACACAGGUACUGUUUUUGAAAUCCUGUCCAGAAAAGUGCUACUUUGUCAAUGUUUUCGAUAACAGAUUACAAUAUGACAUUGGUGCUAGUUUUCAAUAUUCUAAAAUUAUAGUGCUAGUUUUGUCAAUCAUCUAAUUUUCAUGAAUUUUUAGUAUUGGAACCAAAUUAAGUGUUAAAUAUUUGGAGUUUUGGUGUUAAAAUAAUUUAUAUAAAGGAGUAUAUAUUGUUAGUGACCUUAAUUGGGAUUAUGAUGUUGAAAAUAAAGUAUAGCAAGUUUCCAUAGGUAAAUUAAUAUUUCAAAUGGUAAGAAAAUACUCAAGGCACCUUUGUAAGGGGAUAUGAUUUACUCGAGCGAUUGCGUAAUAUCAUACUUGAUAUUUGAAGUUGAAGCAGUGAAGAGAAGAUUGAAAUCAUGAUCGACUAUGACUUGAUAGAAAGCAGCCGAAUUGAACAGCUUUGGAGCCUAUUUAACCACUGAAUUGAGCCAUGCGUCAUAGGUUGUAUGACAUCAUUUAUCAAAUUAACAUUAUGUGUUCUUUUGGGAUACAUGUAGCUUAAAUCAGAAAAGUUCAUUAUAGAGUCAUUAAAUGUUUAGUAUUUUAAGUAUAUUUGAGGAUUGUUAGUUGUAAAGCAAGUAAAUAUUGAUUUGCUAGCAUUUUAUUUAUAUAGUUUGUAUUUUGAGGGAUUAGCGUACCCUGAUUUGUAUUAUAGGUACUGAUUUGAGAAAAAUUGUUAAUUGUUUAGGUGAUUUUAGUUCGUAUUUAAGGAGAAACUUUGUCAAAAUUA
Olea europaea var. sylvestris is the source of this 1276-nucleotide long non-coding RNA. RefSeq lists it as uncharacterized. The transcript has 2 exons. NCBI's taxonomy places the organism in Eukaryota, Viridiplantae, Streptophyta, Magnoliopsida, Lamiales, Oleaceae. The record is from RefSeq and is a predicted model, not a curated record.